UUGUUUUUUGUAACUUGGUUGCAGGAGAAAAGAGCCUGAAUUCUCUACACUAACUACUGCAGGAAUUGUGAACUUCAAUGGAGACAAGAGACUGAAUCCUUCACACCAACUGCCAGACUGCUGAUGGAAUUGAGGAUUUUUUGUUCAGAUCACCUUCUCUGGCAGAAAUACAGAAGAAUGAAUGAAGAUCUGAAAGAAACUGCAGCAGGACACUGGAGACUGUUCCAGUUAAAGGAAUCCGGAAGAGAGAAAUACUGAGAAGUUGUGUGAGAGAGAGACAGACACAAGGUACUAUUCUUUUGGAAUUACACGGGAUCAUCAUUACCCACAGUUCAAAAAUAGAUGAGAGAAAACCAAAUAUAUUAGUCCAUGAAAAGCAGACAAAAGUAGCAUU
Molecule: long non-coding RNA, 394 nt
Organism: Protopterus annectens (West African lungfish)
Lineage: Eukaryota; Metazoa; Chordata; Ceratodontiformes; Protopteridae
Exons: 3
Source: RefSeq, a predicted model, not a curated record